Molecule: ribosomal RNA, 794 nt
Filed under: Staphylococcus sp. C71-PCA-T3P21
Lineage: Bacteria; Bacillati; Bacillota; Bacilli; Caryophanales; Staphylococcaceae
Description: bacterial SSU rRNA
Rfam family: Bacterial small subunit ribosomal RNA
Source: RNAcentral
ACAUGCAGUCGAGCGAACGGAUAAGGAGCUUGCUCCUUUGAAGUUAGCGGCGGACGGGUGAGUAACACGUGGGUAACCUACCUAUAAGACUGGGAUAACUUCGGGAAACCGGAGCUAAUACCGGAUAACAUUUAGAACCGCAUGGUUCUAAAGUGAAAGAUGGUUUUGCUAUCACUUAUAGAUGGACCCGCGCCGUAUUAGCUAGUUGGUAAGGUAACGGCUUACCAAGGCGACGAUACGUAGCCGACCUGAGAGGGUGAUCGGCCACACUGGAACUGAGACACGGUCCAGACUCCUACGGGAGGCAGCAGUAGGGAAUCUUCCGCAAUGGGCGAAAGCCUGACGGAGCAACGCCGCGUGAGUGAUGAAGGGUUUCGGCUCGUAAAACUCUGUUAUUAGGGAAGAACAAAUGUGUAAGUAACUGUGCACAUCUUGACGGUACCUAAUCAGAAAGCCACGGCUAACUACGUGCCAGCAGCCGCGGUAAUACGUAGGUGGCAAGCGUUAUCCGGAAUUAUUGGGCGUAAAGCGCGCGUAGGCGGUUUCUUAAGUCUGAUGUGAAAGCCCACGGCUCAACCGUGGAGGGUCAUUGGAAACUGGGAAACUUGAGUGCAGAAGAGGAAAGUGGAAUUCCAUGUGUAGCGGUGAAAUGCGCAGAGAUAUGGAGGAACACCAGUGGCGAAGGCGACUUUCUGGUCUGUAACUGACGCUGAUGUGCGAAAGCGUGGGGAUCAAACAGGAUUAGAUACCCUGGUAGUCCACGCCGUAAACGAUGAGUGCUAAGUGUUAGGGGG